CCUACGGGGGGCUGCAGUGGGGAAUAUUGGACAAUGGGCGAAAGCCUGAUCCAGCCAUGCCGCGUGUGUGAAGAAGGCCUUCGGGUUGUAAAGCACUUUCAGUGGGGAAGAAAGCCUUGGGGCUAAUACCCUCGAGGAAGGACAUCACCCACAGAAGAAGCACCGGCUCAACUCCGUGCCAGCAGCCGCGGUAAUACGGAGGGUGCGAGCGUUAAUCGGAAUUACUGGGCGUAAAGCGCGCGUAGGCGGUCUGAUAAGCCGGUUGUGAAAGCCCCGGGCUCAACCUGGGAACGGCAUCCGGAACUGUCAGGCUAGAGUGCAGGAGAGGAAGGUAGAAUUCCCGGUGUAGCGGUGAAAUGCGUAGAGAUCGGGAGGAAUACCAGUGGCGAAGGCGGCCUUCUGGACUGACACUGACGCUGAGGUGCGAAAGCGUGGGUAGCAAACAGGAUUAGAUACCCGUGUAGUC
RNAcentral lists this ribosomal RNA (466 nucleotides) under Vreelandella stevensii. Its description in RNAcentral is "partial 16S ribosomal RNA". It matches the Rfam family "Bacterial small subunit ribosomal RNA", at positions 338 to 795 of the family's 1533-position model. Lineage: Bacteria; Pseudomonadati; Pseudomonadota; Gammaproteobacteria; Oceanospirillales; Halomonadaceae. The record is from RNAcentral.